Molecule: ribosomal RNA, 489 nt
Filed under: uncultured bacterium
Lineage: Bacteria
Description: partial 16S ribosomal RNA
Rfam family: Bacterial small subunit ribosomal RNA
Source: RNAcentral
GACGAACGCUGGCGGCGUGCUUAACACAUGCAAGUCGAACGGAAAGGCCCCCACCUUGGUGGGGGUGCUCGAGUGGCGAACGGGUGAGUAACACGUGGGUGAUCUGCCCUGUACUUCGGGAUAAGCUUGGGAAACUGGGUCUAAUACCGGAUAGGACCAUGGUUUAGUGUCUCAUGGUGGAAAAAUUAUUGUUUUGGUGCAGGAUGAGCUCGCGGCCUAUCAGCUUGUGGGUGGGGUAAUGGCCUACCAAGGCGUCGACGGGUAGCCGGCCUGAGAGGGUGGACGGCCACAUUGGGACUGAGAUACGGCCCAGACUCCUACGGGAGGCAGCAGUGGGGAAUAUUGCACAAUGGGCGCAAGCCUGAUGCAGCGACGCCGCGUGGGGGAUGACGGCCGUCGGGUUGUAAACUCCUUUCGUUAGGGACGAAGCCACACCUUUUUUGGGUGUGGUGACGGUACCUUUGUUAAGAAGCACCGGCUAACUACGUG